UGUCUUCAGGGCGGGGUGAAAGUCCCCACCGGCGGUACAGUCCGCGACUCGCGCUUCCCGCGCGACCGAACCGGUGCGAUUCCGGUACCGACAGUUAAAGUCUGGAUGGAAGAAGAC
RNAcentral lists this non-coding RNA (117 nucleotides) under bovine gut metagenome. RNAcentral describes it as "FMN riboswitch (RFN element)". It matches the Rfam family "FMN riboswitch aptamer (RFN element)". Rfam says of the family: The RFN element is a highly conserved domain that is found frequently in the 5'-untranslated regions of prokaryotic mRNAs that encode for flavin mononucleotide (FMN) biosynthesis and transport proteins. This element is a metabolite-dependent riboswitch that directly binds FMN in the absence of proteins. In Bacillus subtilis, the riboswitch most likely controls gene expression by causing premature transcription termination within the 5' untranslated region of the ribDEAHT operon and precluding access to the ribosome-binding site of ypaA mRNA. The record is from RNAcentral.